GGGGAGCGAACAGGAUUAGAUACCCUGGUAGUCCAUGCCGUAAACGUUGGGCGCUAGAUGUAGGGACCUUUCCACGGUUUCUGUGUCGUAGCUAACGCAUUAAGCGCCCCGCCUGGGGAGUACGGCCGCAAGGCUAAAACUCAAAGGAAUUGACGGGGGCCCGCACAAGCGGCGGAGCAUGCGGAUUAAUUCGAUGCAACGCGAAGAACCUUACCAAGGCUUGACAUACACCGGAAACGGCCAGAGAUGGUCGCCCCCUUGUGGUCGGUGUACAGGUGGUGCAUGGUUGUCGUCAGCUCGUGUCGUGAGAUGUUGGGUUAAGUCCCGCAACGAGCGCAACCCUCGUUCUAUGUUGCCAGCGGGUUAUGCCGGGGACUCAUAGGAGACUGCCGGGGUCAACUCGGAGGAAGGUGGGGAUGACGUCAAAUCAUCAUGCCCCUUAUGUCUUGGGCUUCACGCAUGCUACAAUGGCCGGUACAAAGGGCUGCGAUACCGUAAGGUGGAGCGAAUCCCAAAAAGCCGGUCUCAGUUCGGAUUGAGGUCUGCAACUCGACCUCAUGAAGUCGGAGUCGCUAGUAAUCGCAGAUCAGCAACGCUGCGGUGAAUACGUUCCCGGGCCUUGUACACACCGCCCGUCAAGUCAUGAAAGUCGGUAACACCCGAAGCCGGU
RNAcentral lists this ribosomal RNA (670 nucleotides) under Curtobacterium herbarum. RNAcentral describes it as "bacterial SSU rRNA". It matches the Rfam family "Bacterial small subunit ribosomal RNA", at positions 763 to 1431 of the family's 1533-position model. Lineage: Bacteria; Bacillati; Actinomycetota; Actinomycetes; Micrococcales; Microbacteriaceae. The record is from RNAcentral.